UCCUACGGGGGGCAGCAGUAGGGAAUCUUCCACAAUGGGCGAAAGCCUGAUGGAGCAACGCCGCGUGGGUGAAGAAGGUCUUCGGAUCGUAAAACCCUGUUGUUAGAGAAGAAAGUGCGUGAGAGUAACUGUUCACGUUUCGACGGUAUCUAACCAGAAAGCCACGGCUAACUACGUGCCAGCAGCCGCGGUAAUACGUAGGUGGCAAGCGUUCUCCGGAUUUAUUGGGCGUAAAGGGAACGCAGGCGGUCUUUUAAGUCUGAUGUGAAAGCCUUCGGCUUCACCGGCGUCGUGCAUUGGAAACU
This 305-nucleotide ribosomal RNA is filed under the name uncultured bacterium. Its description in RNAcentral is "bacterial SSU rRNA". It matches the Rfam family "Bacterial small subunit ribosomal RNA", at positions 337 to 634 of the family's 1533-position model. The record is from RNAcentral.